Molecule: ribosomal RNA, 581 nt
Filed under: uncultured bacterium
Lineage: Bacteria
Description: partial 16S ribosomal RNA
Rfam family: Bacterial small subunit ribosomal RNA
Source: RNAcentral
UGGGGAAUAUUGCGCAAUGGGCGCAAGCCUGAUGCAGCCAUGCCGCGUGUGUGAAGAAGGCCUUCGGGUUGUAAAGCACUUUCAGCGAGGAGGAAGGUGGUGGACUUAAUACGUUCAUCAAUUGACGUUACUCGCAGAAGAAGCACCGGCUAACUCCGUGCCAGCAGCCGCGGUAAUACGGAGGGUGCAAGCGUUAAUCGGAAUUACUGGGCGUAAAGCGCACGCAGGCGGUUUGUUAAGUCAGAUGUGAAAUCCCCGGGCUCAACCUGGGAACUGCAUUUGAAACUGGCAAGCUAGAGUCUCGUAGAGGGGGGUAGAAUUCCAGGUGUAGCGGUGAAAUGCGUAGAGAUCUGGAGGAAUACCGGUGGCGAAGGCGGCCCCCUGGACGAAGACUGACGCUCAGGUGCGAAAGCGCGGGGAGCAAACAGGAUUAGAUACCCUGGUAGUCCACGCUGUAAACGAUGUCGAUUUUGGAGGUUGUGCCCUUGAGGCGUGGCUUCCGGAGCUAACGCGUUAAAUCGACCGCCUGGGGAGUACGGCCGCAAGGUUAAAACUUAAAUGAAUUGACGGGGUCAUAGCUG